UGGUGGGUAGUUUGACUGGGGCGGUCUCCUCCUAAAGAGUAACGGAGGAGCACGAAGGUUGGCUAAUCCUGGUCGGACAUCAGGAGGUUAGUGCAAUGGCAUAAGCCAGCUUGACUGCGAGCGUGACGGCGCGAGCAGGUGCGAAAGCAGGUCAUAGUGAUCCGGUGGUUCUGAAUGGAAGGGCCAUCGCUCAACGGAUAAAAGGUACUCCGGGGAUAACAGGCUGAUACCGCCCAAGAGUUCAUAUCGACGGCGGUGUUUGGCACCUCGAUGUCGGCUCAUCACAUCCUGGGGCUGAAGUAGGUCCCAAGGGUAUGGCUGUUCGCCAUUUAAAGUGGUACGCGAGCUGGGUUUAGAACGUCGUGAGACAGUUCGGUCCCUAUCUGCCGUGGGCGCUGGAGAACUGAGGGGGGCUGCUCCUAGUACGAGAGGACCGGAGUGGACGCAUCACUGGUGUUCGG
Molecule: ribosomal RNA, 461 nt
Filed under: Escherichia coli
Lineage: Bacteria; Pseudomonadati; Pseudomonadota; Gammaproteobacteria; Enterobacterales; Enterobacteriaceae
Also listed under: 3 other names
Description: partial 23S ribosomal RNA
Rfam family: Bacterial large subunit ribosomal RNA
Source: RNAcentral